GAUGAAGAACGUAGCGAAAUGCGAUAAGUAAUGUGAAUUGCAGAAUUCAGUGAAUCAUCGGAUCUUUGAACGCACAUUGCGCCCCCUGGUAUUCCGGGGGGCAUGCCUGUUCGAGCGUCAUUUCACCACUCAAGCCUCGCUUGGUAUUGGGCAACGCGGUCCGCCGCGUGCCUCAAAUCGACCGGCUGGGUCUUCUGUCCCCUAAGCGUUGUGGAAACUAUUCGCUAAAGGGUGCUCGGGAGGCUACGCCGUAAAACAAACCCAUUUCUAAGGUUGACCUCGGAUCAGGUAGGGAUACCCGCUGAACUUAAGCAUAUCAAUAAGCGGAGGA
RNAcentral lists this unclassified non-coding RNA (331 nucleotides) under soil metagenome. RNAcentral's name for it is "partial contains 5.8S ribosomal RNA, internal transcribed spacer 2, and large subunit ribosomal RNA". The stretch from base 1 to 120 matches the Rfam family "5.8S ribosomal RNA", at positions 35 to 154 of the family's 154-position model. The record is from RNAcentral.